RNAcentral lists this ribosomal RNA (468 nucleotides) under uncultured bacterium. RNAcentral describes it as "partial 16S ribosomal RNA". It matches the Rfam family "Bacterial small subunit ribosomal RNA", at positions 28 to 507 of the family's 1533-position model. The record is from RNAcentral.
GAUGAACGCUGGCGGCGUGCUUAACACAUGCAAGUCGAACGGUGAACACGGAGCUUGCUCUGUGGGAUCAGUGGCGAACGGGUGAGUAACACGUGAGCAACCUGCCCCUGACUCUGGGAUAAGCGCUGGAAACGGCGUCUAAUACUGGAUAUGUGACGUGAUCGCAUGGUCUGCGUCUGGAAAGAAUUUCGGUUGGGGCUGGGCUCGCGGCCUAUCAGCUUGUUGGUGAGGUAAUGGCUCACCAAGGCGUCGACGGGUAGCCGGCCUGAGAGGGUGACCGGCCACAAUGGGACUGAGACACGGCCCAGACGCCUACGGGAGGCAGCAGUGGGGAAUAUUGCACAAUGGGCGCAAGCCUGAUGCAGCAGCGCCGCGUGAGGGAUGACGGCCUUCGGGUUGUAAACCUCUUUUAGCAGGGAAGAAGCGAAAGUGACGGUACCUGCAGAAAAAGCGCCGGCUAACUACGUG